CACGUAGGGUGCGAGCGUUGUCCGGAAUUAUUGGGCGUAAAGAGCUCGUAGGCGGUGUGUCGCGUCGGCCGUGAAAACCUGCAGCUUAACUGUGGGCUUGCGGUCGAUACGGGCAUCACUGGAGUUCGGCAGGGGAGACUGGAAUUCCUGGUGUAGCGGUGAAAUGCGCAGAUAUCAGGAGGAACACCGGUGGCGAAGGCGGGUCUCUGGGCCGAUACUGACGCUGAGGCGCGAAAGCGUGGGUAGCAAACGGG
This 254-nucleotide ribosomal RNA is filed under the name uncultured bacterium. RNAcentral describes it as "partial 16S ribosomal RNA". It matches the Rfam family "Bacterial small subunit ribosomal RNA", at positions 524 to 776 of the family's 1533-position model. The record is from RNAcentral.